UGACACUGCGUUGUUGAAGCAAGUAAUGCCGUCCCAUGAUUAGGCUCCAUAAAUAUUUGUCAUACGAAUAGAUGAAUGAGUGAAUGAAUGAAUGAAUUCUAGCAAGAGGCAAGAGAAUUGAUGAUGCCAUGGGAUCACCUGAAUCAUCACUCUGAGUUGAUUGAAGCCCAGCAGCACCCGUUAUGGAAAUGGCUUAUCUUGUGGUUCUCCAGAGUUGUGGCUAGAACAUAUUUGGUUUCCUGGCAAAACCGUAUAGGAUUUUGAAAUUUGAUGGAGAAGGCUUGAAAGUUACCAAAAUUGAAAGGAGCAGUGGCGUGUGUAUUCUCCUUCUGGCCCAGGAGUCUGGGUUUCUCUGAGGCUCACACCAAUGUGAGGAAACUGAAGCCCAGGGAGCUAAAACUAAAAUCAUAUUUAUCGGUGCAGUUAAUGUGCAUCACAACCUAUGAGGUGGCUGUCAUCCCCAUGUGCUGAUGAAGGAACAGAGACACCGAAAAGUUAAGAAACUCACCCAAGUUUCCAGAGCCUGCUAGUAACACAACUGGGUUGGUGUUAUCCUGGCAUCUUUCCCAGAUCUGAGCCCCAUGCACCUUCAGAGCUCUGCUGGUUAACCUCUGCCCCUCUGUGACUGCAACAUGGGCCAUGUGGGCAAGGUCAAGGCCACCCUGAGGCAGCUGGUGAGGGAGGCCUGGAAGGUGGGCUUCUAGAGGGAAGAGGCCAUGUUAGAGGCCGGGCUCUAUUCUAGACUGCAGUUUGGGUAGACAGAGGAAAAACAUCAUGUUGGAUGUGACACAUACCUUCCCGGCAUCCUGACAGUUAGGCUUGAAAGAAACAUGUCAGGCAGCACCAAAUCCUGUAAUGACUUAGAGCAGAGUUAGAGGAACCUGGAAGGAGUGGCAGCCCCGAGGGCGCCUGGUAGCUGCUAAUUUGGGCUGGUGAUGACAGCGGAGAUGGCAGGGCUGCAGCUCGGAGCCGCUUGGCCGACAGAGGCUCUGGCUUCUGCUGGGGAGACAGGGCUGGGUGGGAGGAGAUUUUGAACAGAAAUCUGCUUCUAAGAGGACUUGGACCUGUUCUCUCUACCUUGCCCCACCCUCUAGGGUUGUGGGCAUAGGGAGGAUGGAUGUGGAUCUAAAGUCAGAUCCCUUUGAGGGUGGGGAUGAGGGAAUGGGCUGCCUGUGAGCUGGGGCCCAAGGGGGAUGGGAGUGGCACCAUUUUAUUCCUAUGGGAAAUGCCUUCUGCUCUGCAGUCGAUCACCUUGGCCAUUGAGAUGGACUGUAAAUGACUAUGUGGGUGGUCCUGCCUUGGCCCUUUAACCGUUUGGGGCCUCCAUUAGCCAUCUGUGACAUGGACCAGGUUCUGCUUUGCAGGUAUGCUCUGCAGCUCCCCAUCUUUCUCCAUGCCACAGUGAGGACAACACAGAACAACUUAUAGUGAUUUCCUCCUGCCCGUGUAUGGUAAGAACUUGAGGCAACGUACAGCAUGAGGCACACAGUAUUUGAAAAUUAAGGUGGAAGAUCAAAAGACAUUUGACUUCCAAAAGAUUAUGAUUUAUCAAUUCUAUGGUAAGGCCUGAGUGCCUGCAUUUUUACCAAGCUCCCCAGAUGAUUCUAUCACACCCUCAAAUUUGAGAACCACUGGUGCGAAGGAAGGAGGAAGGAAAUACACCCAAGAUCUGGGCCACUAUCGCUAUUGUCACUGACCACCAAGACGACAAAAGGGAAAUAAGAUAGAUUACAUCAUUUUCAUUAUCUGAAAUGAACAAGGGUAUCAGUUUUUCAGGGUAGACAGACAUCUUCAUGGUACUAAUUUCUGAAAGAAAGCCAUUUCCUGCUGUAGCCUGUUACAAAGGACACUAAACAACAUCAUGGAUAAUUGGGGGGCAGGGGAGAUGCUCUGCAUCCCGAAAGGGGGUCUGUGGUGCUGGUCACCCCAGCAGCUGUGGCCCGCCUUGGGGACACCAGGCCCACUCUGUAGCAGGACCUGCUCACCCUCUGAUGCCAUCCUUUUCUGCAAUCAACCAGUAAGAGGGGCAUCGCCAGGAGGAAGAGUGGGCUAGCACUGAGGAAAGAGCCAGGCGUGGGGUAUGAGACGUUGCCUGUGCGGUGAGUUUGAAGGUAUUGCUUGGACUGAGCGCCUAGGUGACCAACAAGGUCACAAGGCAUAAGGUACUUCCCUUCUGUGUGCCCCGAAGUCACAGCUUAGUGACAGGCAGGAGAGAGAGGUAAGAAGAAAACUGGCUAUAGCACCAUCGGAUGCUACAGAAGACCUAAAGCUCCUUUGUGGACAAAACAAUUAGGGCAAAUAUUUGCAACAUACAUGGCAAAGGGUUCAUGUCACAAAUAUGUAAAGAGCUUUUACAAACAGUAAGAAAAAGGCAAACAUCCCAGUGGAAAAAUAAGCCAGGCAUGUAUAAGGCAGUUCAGAUUACCAACAAACACGAGAAAAGAUGUUCAUUCUUACUUGUAAUUGACUACAAGUUAAUAAAUUUAAUUCAAGUUAAAACAAUGAGAUAUCAUCUUGCACGUAGGAAAAUGGUAAAGCUGAAAAACACAGUGAGCCAGUAUUUGGUGAAAUGUGUGUGGGGUGAGGAGCAGGGGAUUUUGAUAUUUAGUGCUGUUGGGAGUAUUACUGGGACAUUCUUUCCGGAAGAUAAUUUGUCAAGUAUCAAAAACCUUAAAAAUGUACAUA
Kogia breviceps (pygmy sperm whale) is the source of this 2685-nucleotide non-coding RNA. NCBI's taxonomy places the organism in Eukaryota, Metazoa, Chordata, Mammalia, Artiodactyla, Physeteridae. The record is from RefSeq and is a predicted model, not a curated record.